Molecule: long non-coding RNA, 22682 nt
Filed under: Triticum aestivum (bread wheat)
Lineage: Eukaryota; Viridiplantae; Streptophyta; Magnoliopsida; Poales; Poaceae
Description: long non-coding RNA (TAES_LNC018527)
Source: RNAcentral
GUCUUUUUUUUUGUAGUGUCAAGAACAUUUUCUAUUCGAGACAAAUUAGCAGCUACGGAAUUCCCAGCUCCCUUUCAAUCAAUAAUAUGCAGGUCAAAUUCUUGUAGCAGUAGAACCCACCUAAUGAGUCUAGGUUUAGCAUCUUUCUUUUCCAUAAGAUAUUUAAUAGCAACAUGAUCGGUGUGAACAAUUACUUUAGAGUCAACAAUGUAGGAUCUAAAUUUAUCACAUGCAAACACAACUGCUAAAAAUUCUUUCUCAAUAGUAGCAUAAUUUCUCUGAGCAAUGUCUAGAGUUUUACGAGCAUAAUGUAUAACAUUUAAUUUCUUAUGAACUCUUUGUCCUAGAAUAACACCAACGGCAUAAUCACUAGCAUCACACAUAAUUUCAAAAGGCAAGUUCCAAUCAGGUUGUUGAACAAUAGGUGCAGAAGUUAAGGCUUUCUUAAGUGUUUCAAAGGCUUGUACACAAUCAUCAUCAAAAUAAAUGGAAAAUAUUUUUGCAAAAGAUUAGUAAGAGGCCUAGAAAUUUUAGAGAAGUCUUUAAUGAACCUCCUAUAGAAACUAACAUGACCAAGGAAACUUCUUAUACCUUUAAUAUCUUUAGGACAUGGCAUUUUCUCAAUUGCAUCAACUUUAGCUUUAUCUACUACAAUACCUUGUUCGGAAAUUUUAUGCCCCAAGACAAUACCUUCAUUUACCAUAAAGUGGCAAUUCUCCAAUUCAAGACAAGAUUAAUUUGUUCGUAUCUCUGCAAAACUCGAUCAAGGUUGCUUAAGCAAUCAUCAAAAGAAGUCCCGUAAACGGAAAAGUCGUCCAUGAAAACCUCAACAAUCUUUUCACAAAAGUCAGAGAAUAUAGCAGUCAUACAUCUUUGAAAGUUAGCAGGUGCAUUGCAUAAACCAAAAGGCAUACGUCUAUAAGCAUAAGUUCCAAAAGGGCAAGUAAAGUAGUUUUCUCUUGAUCUUCUUUUGACACGGGAAUUUGAGAGAAACCAGAAUAUCCAUCAAGGAAACAAAAGUGUGUAUGCUUGGACAGUCUUUCUAACAUUUGAUCAAUAGAAUGUAAGGGGUAACGAUCUUUUCUAGUAGCAUUGUUUAAUUUGAUCAAUAGAAGGCAAGAGUGACGUGUGCUUUUCGUUUGGGAUCCCACACGUUUCCUGGAAAAAAUUGACAGAAAGACUGUAAGGGAACCCCUUACAGUAUAAUUGGUGCAACAAACCCAAAUUGCAAGUACCAUGCCUUGAACCUGGGUGGGUGGGAAGGCAUCAGCCCCUUCCCACCACUAGGCUAUGCCUUAGUCUGCAGUUUCCUGAAAAAAUUAAAAAAUUAUGGCUGGGAUUGUAUUUUACAUUGGGCACGGUUUACUCCCAGUUCUCGUGUGCGAUAACACGAUAUCACAAACAGUUCUGGAGACCCUACGCACACGUAAUAGUGCUACAAAUCGUUUGCGAUCUGCUGUGUAUCACCGGUGGUUCCUCUACGAUUGACGUAUGCUUUCCGAUGUGGAUCGCACACACUCAUCCAGUUGAACCGUGUGCGGAGCAAUUGCCAGGUUAAAACAAAAAUAUCCCAUUUUGAAUCGGCAUGCAAAAAGCAAAUUCGCCACAAUAUUCAAUUGAACAAAUAACAAAAAUAUCAUAUUUUGAAUCGGCACGCAAAAAGCAAAUUCGCCACAAUAUUCAAUUGAACAAAUAGUGUCCACAGGAAGAACAUUCAUCACAUUUCGCAAAAAUUGCAAUUGAACAUAUGGUAGCUAAAUUCCAAUGAUUUGUCCACACAUAUAUGCAUUACAUAAUUAAUCAUAGUGUACGAAAUAUGAAGACCUCAUCAGAUGGAAAACAAUGGAUCCAUGCGUUAUAUGUUUAGCGGCUAACUCUUACUCAAUGUUUCAGGAGAACGCAUGCUGAAAUCUUCAUUAUCACCAGUGGGAUUGAUGUUGUGAUCCAGGAAGAAGUCGCUGAUAAAUCUCUGAACCAUCAACAAUUCACCAGCCGGAAGCGGUUCAGGGGUCCUCAGUUUUAAGAUGAGCUACAUUGUUUUUAAGGUCAAAAUGUGCCAUAUGAGUGGAGUAGAAGAUAUUAAUUAAGAUAGACUUACUGGUACUAAUGCACGAGGAUCGUCACAACUAUCAGCAGAUUUGCAGAUGGAGAUCAUGUGUCUACAAACAUAGUAUCCACAAAGGUUGGUCCCUGCUUCUUGUUGAGGACACUGAAAUUUUUUGUACAGAAUUAGUCAUGUAUUUGUCCUGUUAGGAACAACCUAACCGGUGUUAGAUGUAUUGUUUUUUCUUUGGAAAAAAUAGAAAGAGGUUUAUUUAGAAGCUUGAACAUUUGACUAGUGUAAGGAAAGGUAUUUGCAAACUGUUGGAUAAAUUUUCCAAAAAUAACGGAUUUCGGUGUGUUACCGGAGAAACGAUCUCGUGCUGCAGAGGUAGUUCCCUCUUGAACAGGUUCCCUGGUUUAGUUUUCCACAAUGUGAGCACACUGCAAAUGAUAAUGAAUUUUGACAACAUCAAUUAUUGAACCAGAUAUGAAUGCAAAUUAAUUUCAACAUCAUAGAAUUCAAUACCUAUCCAUGAAUUGCUGAAGAUGCGUCAGAUCCUGAGCGUUUGUUGACUCUCUCAGAGAAUCAAUGCAGUAAACUAUGUUCUUGUUUGGAACAAUGAAUACCAAUAUCCAGUGAUCGCUACAUAUUAAGAAAGCCACGAACUUACGAAUUAUGUCAAAAUCUGAAAGACAAUAAGUGUAUGCGUGGUUCUUUACUUGACUUACCGUUCAUGAUAUGGCCAGAGAAAUAAUUCUACAUGGGACGUGUUUUCGAAGAGACGGGCAACCGUGUUAACGCCCCAGUCCCGUAGGUCCUUACCAUGUAUUGUUGUGCCAUUUGCUAAUUCAGGAUCUAUGAAAUACACACUCUCCCUUUUUCUUCACUGCGCGUUCAAUCCCCUAAGAGGAAUAAAAUGCAGUUGGCUCUUUAUCAUUUGCAGCCUUGUAUGAAGAAGUUGAUCAGACUUUUCAAGUACUUACAAAAUCAGGCAUCUAACAAGAGUGGCAUUGAGCACGUUGAUGUUGAAGAAGAGAUGUAAGUCCUCGAAACACACAUUGAUGGAAUCAGCAUCGUGUCGGAAAUGAUCUCUAUUGUAGUGGACUAGCAAACCAUGAAGACCUGCUGACAUUUGAUCCAUGCAAUAUUCAUGUAACUCGCGGUAACUGGAGCUGCACUCACCAAAGUAUUUGCCAACAAGAAAUGGCCGGCCAUGGACGUAAUUGCGUGCUUCAAGUACGUCUGCUUUACUUAUAGCAAGCAACAAACAUACUUCUUCAUCAUCCAUGGCGUCAGAAAUAAUAUUACUCCCCGAUUCGAACAAGAUGCUAUUAAUUUGGUUCUGGGCGAUGAGUGCUUUAAGUAAGAGGCAAUCGUUCUCUUUCCUCUUCACUCUCCCGCCGCGCUUCCUCGUGGUCGUGGGUGUAGCCUUUUUGGCCACUUCCUUAUUGGUACUUGAAGCAUUUCUGGCAGAACGUCUGGUUGCCUGCAAGGUAGACUGCCGACCAGACGAUGAAGCUUGGACGGACUGCUUAGCAGAAGGUUUAUCUAUGCCGGACCGCUGAGCUGGCGAUGCUGCUGUGACAGACUGCUGGGCUGUAGGAGCAGAGGCAUCAAACUGCUGACCAUGCGUUGAAGUAAUGUCGGGUUUCUGCGCAGGUGGUGCCAACUUGUCGGUGUGCUGAGGAGGCCGUGCCAAGGCGUUGGUUUGCUGAGCGGGAAGUGCUGAUGCAUUGGUAUGCUGAUCAUGCGACUGUGGACCGACGGACUGAUGAGAAGUCGGUUCUGGACCUACAGACUGCUUAGUAGGCGGUUCCGAAGCAUCAGACUGCUGAGCAGUCUGUUCCACCAGGUUGGUCUACUGAGCAUGUGUUGCAGCUGGGUCUCCCCCCGCAGCUUCAGCGGCCAGCAUCUGAACCGGUGGUGCGCCUUCAGCAGUUCUAGGCCUUGCCACUGGCUGCUUUGGGGUGGAGGAUGACAUGGGCUGUACGCCACAAAGUCGGGCCAGCUAAUCACAGGUUGAUGCAUCAGCCCGCGAGAGCUGCUGUGGCAAGGAGAGCAUCACCGGUUGAGGGGCGAUAGUGGUUGCUCUUGGUGGGGUUUCAGGGAUCUCAUCGAUGAACUCUAUUUCCUUUCGUGGCCACUGGAUGUGAUGUAAUAGUGUUUCUCCCAAGGUCCUUUGCUCAUCGAAGUCUCCUAGGAUAUUCUUCAGGGUAAAUUCAUUGAAUCCAGGCUUUACUUCAUCACGUAGCACUUCACAUAGCCCGGCUUCAAUGGCACAUUGUCCAAGAAGAGGCCGUCUUCCAAGAAGGGUGGGCAAACCCAGGUUGUUCCACAUUUUACCUUCAUAAUGUGUAAGCAUGCCCUUCAGUCUGUCUUUCAUUCCACAUAGAUCAGAUAUAGCAUCAUCAUGAGCAGCUGCAGUCUCAGCAUCGUUGGGGUCAGCUGAUGCACAGCUACUCUUGUGCACUGUUGUCGCGUAAUAAGCAACAUCCUCCAUGCCCGCCUCCCCUCCCAUCUGCUGGCUAUUUGUCAGUGUUAGAGUCUUCUACAUCAUCAUUGACUCCUCAACAUCCUUUCGAAUAGCCAGAUAAAUCUCCUUCCUCAACCUUUCAUACAAUGCAUUCUGCGUCAUUUCACUCCUCGCUUUUUUCAUGCUGAGCAUCUCUUCUUUGCUGAGUGUGAAAGCCCUCUUGUGCGGGACAUUAACACCUAUACCCCUUGCAUGGCCAGGGGGCUCUUUUGCUUCCAGAGCAAUGGACAGAAUGUCACAUGGCCCUGAGUUCUUGUAGAACCUUCCAGGGAUCUUGGAAGCCUCUAACAUCACUUCAUACAGUUUGGCGUCACGUGAGUUUUCAAAGUAAUAAGUUACGUCAUCACGCCUCUUUGCACGUGCCUGCAAGUAGUCUGUGGCGCAUUCGCCCCUGAUUUCACUAAAGGCCGGAUUCCCACCCGCCGCUACUACUUCUUUGUCCUCCUAUUCCCAUAUCAGUUUCAUGCUGUAGUAUCCUGCCACACCCAUACGGUGUGGGUGUAUGUUCUUCUUCUGAAGUUCCGAUUGCUUGAAACUCUUCUCAGCAGACUCUUUAGUUGCCCUGACCCUUUUGAAUUCUGCCCAGUCUGCCUUUGUAAUUUGGGGGUAUGCGGGGAUUGGGUCCUUGCCUUCACUCAAGUACUUCUUGUCCAGCACAUGCUUCCAGUUUCUCCAAGCAUCCCUAGCCUUCUUCAGUGCGGUGUGUUCCACCUGCAUUCUCCACUGCUCUGGAACGUUGAAGUGAUCCAUGAUCUCCCGGACUAUCCUUCGCCGUGUUUUUGUGUCGGCCUUCCAAAACCCCGGCAGAUUAAUGUUGAGCCUUGCCCUGCCAACAAAUCCACACACACUCCUAAACCUCGUGCGUGCUUUAUCUGGUUUAGUUGGAGCCCAAGACUUUAAAUCAAUCUCGGUUACUUCAUAUACACCUUUAGGCUGGUGUGUGGGCUUCCUUGGAGCGUUCCUCCGUGUCCUGACCGGAAGGGUAAUUGCUGCAGCUCUAUCCCAUUCAAGAUUACUUGAACCCUCACAAUCUGCUGAAGACAUAGGGUUGUCCGAAUCAGAUGAAGAUACAUCGCCUAAAGCAUGAGUGAUGUCGCUGCUACUCGGCAUCUACAGAGAACACAUGCGAAACUCGGGAAAGGAGGAUAAGCAUAAAACUAACAACUUGGUAUCAAGCUUUCUAAACAUGCCAUGCAAUAAUUUAGAAAAUGUACGGCUAAUUUGUUAAGUUUGUGUGACUCGGGUGCCGCGAUCUGUAAAUAGGCAGUAACUUAUUGGAACAAAUACAGCUUAUAUGUAGUAAGGAAGAUAGAUAAUGAACAUAUAUAUGCUCUCCGUUAUUUUAUAGCCAAUUUGGGAACAUAAGGAACAAAAUUGGAAGAGGGAUUGCGAGGAAAUCUGCCAAACCGCGAUGGAGAGCAGUAACUAACAGGCUUCUUAAUGCAAACCCGACCGGACCAUAGGAGAGGCGAGGGUUACUGCAUCGAUAUGCUCAAGGGUGGCUGGCGAGCAAACGAAGACGGCGAGGUGCGGGCCGUCGCCUGUUGGGAACGGUAGUUGAGGUAGGCUUGACACCGAAGAGCGGGCACACGGGCGGGGUGAGCACGGCGGCGCCGGAGAGGGUUCUGCUGUGGAUCUGGGGGAGGGGGAGCUGGCGAUGGAGAUUGGGUGGACUACUUGAGUGAAACGCGGGCGGACGGUGGGGGUGUUGGGGACUCCGGGUGUUGGCGGCCUAGGUGAAAAGGGUGAAAAAUAUCCCCGGUCGCCGCGCGCGCGGAAAGGCCUAUGCAAACAGUUGCCUCUAAGCGCUCUUGUGCACAAACGGAAUAAUUUCGUUUGAAAUGAAGACGUGAGUUCAUCGUUUCGCCUCUAAACAAUCACAAUUAUACCACGGGUUUGAUUUGCUGGCGCAUUUCAGUUCUCGUGUGCUAUAUGUAAGACAUUUUUUGGUAUUUACCACGCAUUUUGGCAUAUAAAUCAAUUCCUAGCCGGACUGCAUUUCCUGUCGAAAGGGAUGAGGAUUGUCGUUCGUCUGGGAGCAUCCAACGGUGCAGACGUACGAUCUUUGGGGUUUGGGUUCUGGCCAAUCAGAGCGCACGACUCAGAUCGCGCGCGCAGCAAAGGGGGGCAUCGGCCACGGUUUGGUAGGCACACGGCUUUCGUGUGUGAACUGCGUGCUAUUUGAAAACAUUUUUUUGGAGGGGAUAUUUGAAAACAUUUAUAUGUGCUAUCGAAAGGGAUGAGGAUCGCCGUUCGAUCAAGGAGAAUCCAACGGUGCAGACGUACGAUCCAUGGGGUUUGGGUUCUGGCCAAUCAGAACGCACGACUCAGAUCGCGCGCGUGGCAGAGGGGGGCAUCGGCCACGUUCUAGUGGACACACGGCUUUCAUGAGUGAAUUGUGUGCUAUUUUGAAAACAUUUACAUUACCUAACAUCAUAUUUUUGUUCGAUUGAAAACAUGAGCUCAUCGUUUCGCGUCCAAUUUUUUUCCACGGUAAGAAAUCACGAUUGUACCCUAUGGUUCGAUUUUCUGGUACAUUUUACCACGCGGCAAGCCUCGCUAGCAAUCUCAAACUAUCAAUGUGCAAAAAAAAGAGAUCUCAUUUGUAUGUGUAUAUAUAUAGUCGCAACUACACGUGUGUGUUAGCAACAUCAUUUGUGUUGCUUUGCGAGGUUUCAUUCAUUGUGCGAGAAACGGGAAAAAACUUCAAACAGUUCGGUCGCAGGGUGCGGCCAGAGGCAUAGGCCUUGUUGGUAUUUUAAUUUCAGGAAAUGCAUAUAGAGUCCAAUUCUAUUUCAGGAUUGACCUCCUAUGACGCUGCCACCGCCCACCGACCAAGGAUUGACCUCUUCUCCGGUAGCCGCUGCCUAGGCCGCUGCCAUCUCUAUAUGCAGAGCAGCUAUUUUUUUUUACGGAUAUCCGCAGAGCGGCUGUUUACACAGUAUCUCACCGUAACUCAAUUAUAUGGACAGGGUAGUACAUCACAUACGGUUAUGUAACGGCAACCAUGUCUAACCUACGUUGUCCUCUCACACGGUUUGGUGUGGAAAUCGUGUGUGACGUUGUAAUACCUAACACAAACGACAUGUAUAAACAGUGUGUCGUAUACAACAUAUAGUGCCAUAAGUAGUUCCCGACCGUUAGCUUAUCUCCACAGUUUCCCCAUUUCCCCCAAAUCCCUACAUAGCCUCCAAAUUCCCUUGCAUGGCACUGACAUUAGGGGAAUGCAGACGAGUGGUGCUGAUGGUUUCGGUGCGGCUGCUCCUGCUCGUAUCGCCGCCACGACGGCGGUCGCCGCCGAGCACUUGCCUAAGGUCAUCAGAAGGCGGGUGUACUAUGGAUCUGAAUCAUCCUGUCAGGUUUCAAUCUAUCCCGAUCUUUUUUAGCAUGUCCAAAGUAUAGCUCCUUGCUGAAUCUGUCCUGAAUGACCCCCCCCCCUCUCCCCUAGGAAAGCGAUCUGCCGCUGGAUCCGGCGCAUGACUCCAGACUCCCGCAACACGAGUUCGACUCCGAGUUUUGCGCCACCGAGAAGUACCAAAGCUGAGUUGUGUGCACGGGCACACUCCCACUCGACGUGUAUGCACGGAGGGAUUCGACAUUGGCAGGCGGUUUCUCAGUUGCCCCUUAUAGGUUAGUGCUAAUUAAGUUCAUCAUUUUACUUCAGUUAAUGCCACCGCUCAUCCUGAAUACUAUUUAACAUUGGCAGGGAUAUGAGACUUGUGCCUUUGUUAACUGGCUGGAUGAAGAAUGGCAUGGUAGGGCUCGGAGUGUUAUCACCAAGCUCGCAGAAGAUAACGUAAAGCUGAAGAAGAAACUGGCUGACCUGGAAUGUACAAUCAGUAUGAUCAAGCAAGAAAGAAUCAAUCACAGGCAACAGAUGAAAGCAAGAGACAAGAAGGAACUAGCAUGUGUAGUUGUGGUUGUCGCAUUAGCCAUGUUCUAUGCGCUAUUUGCAAUGAUGAUUAGGGGUUUUUGUCACGCCCAAGAUGCGACUCUAUCCUAAAGGAACUCAAAGGUCCCACCAAGGAUAGAAGCGCAUCUUGAAGACGCUUUUGCAAGGUGGAUAUCAUUAUAUCAACAUUACAUAAAAGAUGGGGAAACAUACAAAAGGCACAAACGCCCCAAAAAUACAUCAAUACAUCAUACACAAGAUCAACAUCCGACUACGGAUGAAACACAAACAGAAGCUCAAAAGACAUCCACCCUGCUAGCCCAGGCUGCCGACCUGGAACCUAUCCCCUGAUCGAAGAAGAAGUAGAAGAAGAACUCCAAAACAAACAAAAUCGCUCUCGCGUCAUGAUCAUCGCAUAACCUGUACCUGCAACUGUUCUGUGAGCCACGAGGACUCAGCAAUCCCAUUACCAUGGGUAUCAAGACUAGCAAAGCUUAAUGGGUAUGGAAAGGAUAAGUGGUGAGGUUGCAGCAGCGACUAAGCAAUGUAUGGUGGCUAACUUACGCAAAUAAGAGCGAGAAGAGAAGCAAUGGAACGGUCGCCAACUAGUAAUGAUCAAGAAGUGAUCCUGAACUCCUACUUACGUCAAACAUAACCCAAAAACCGUGUUCACUUCCCGGACUCCGCCGAAAAGAGACCAUCACGGUUACACACGCAGUUGAUGUGUUUUAGUUAAGUCAAGUGUCAAGUUCUCUACAACCGGACAUUAACAAAUUCCUAUCUACCACAUAACCGCGGGCAUGGCUCUCGAAAGUUUAUACCCUGCAGGGGUGUCCCAACUUAGCCCAUUAUAAGCUCUCACGGUCAACGAAGGAUAUUCCUUCUCCCAGGAAGACCCGAUCAGUCUCGGAAUCCCGGUUUACAAGACAUUUCGACAAUGGUAAAACAAGACCAGCAAAGCCGCCCGAUGUGCCGACAAUCCCGAUAGGAGCUGCACAUAUCUCGUUCUUAGGGCAACACCGGAUGAGACUAGCUACGAGUAAAACCAGACUUCGAGUUUCCCCGAGGUGGCCCCGCAGGCAGCUCGGUUCGGACCAACACUUAGAGAAGCACUGGCCCAGGGGGUUAAAAUAAAGAUGACCCUCGGGAUACGCGACUCCCAAGGGAAAAAGGCUAGGUGAGGCAAAUGUGAAACCAAGGUUGGGCCUUGCUGGAAGAGUUUUAUUCAAAGCGAACUGUCAAGGGGGUCCCAUAAAUCACCCAACCGCGUAAGGGACGCAAAAUCAAGGAACAUAACACCGGUAUGACGAAAACUAGGGCGGCAAGAGUGGAACAAAACACCAGGCAUAAGGCCGAGCCUUCCACCCUUUACCAAGUAUAUAGAUGCUUUAAUUAAAUAAGAGAUAUUGUGAUAUCCCAACAAAAUUCAUGAUAUCCAUGUUCCAACAUGGAACAAACUUCUUCAUCUUCACCUGCAACUAGCAACGCUAUAAGAGGGGCUGAGCAAAAGCGGUAACAUAGCCAAACAAUGGUUUGCUAGGAAGGGUGACAAAGGUUAGAGAUUCAUGGCAAUUUGGGAGGCUUGAUAAGCAAGUGGUAGGUAACGCAGCAUAGCGAUAGAACGAAGCAACUAGCAUAGCAAUGAUAGUAGUGAGAUCCAAGGUGACGGUCAUCUUUCCUGAAAUCCCGCUAGGAAGAAGAAUGAGUCCAUGAAGAAGAUGAAGCCACGAAGACGAACCAAUCGUAGACGAACGAAUCCUCACGAUCGCAACGAAACGGGAACUAUCGAGGAGAAGCACAUCCGGAAAGAAGCAAACAACACGGUAAACACUCAACACAUAGACAAGGCAUGAUGCUCAACCAAGUAUGAUGCAUGACAAGUCUACAUGAAGCUACUCAUGGCAAGAGAUGAGGCAUACAAGAGCAACACAUCAAAGAAGGUUUAAAUGAGGCCGGAAACAACAUAUAAAAAAUCCGUAAGUCCUCAUAUGCAAAUUUAGAAUUUGGUCCAGAUCUGAAUAAACCUUAUGUUCAACUAGUUAAACAGCAAAAUAAAAUGCACCAAGAUGAUCUACACGAAAUUCUAGUCAAGUUACAUAUAAAGUUCAUUAGAUUCGGAGAUACGGCCUAGAAGAUAUGAGCAAAACAAGUUAAACAUAGCAUUGAUGCAAAAUGCAUUCAAACAUCAAGCAAACACCUCAAAACAAGGAUGCAACAAGACAAUAUGGAACUACAUGCAAUUCUAAGCAAGUUACAUAUAGAACAUGCUCAAAACGGAGCAACGGUGCAACACAUACACUCCAAACAAGAUAUAGCAACAAUCUGUCCAAAACAGCAACUAGGCAUAUUGCAAGCAUCAUGAAAAUAUGCUACAGCACCCCAACAUGAUAACAAAAGGCAUGGACAUGAUGUACAGGUAAAGCAUUACAAAACAUGAACACUGAGCUAUUCCCAGAAAUCACUAGAACAUGCUCAAAAGGACAUGGCAAGAUUGCAAAUAAUAACAGUUUCACAGACUUAGCAGAAAUCACUGGACAUGGCAGAAAUAACAUCAGGUUGCAAAGUUUAGAGCUAUCAAACAACAUGCUACAGGAACAUAUCAUAGCAAACAAAGCCAUGGAAUGAAUCUACUAAUUGCAUAGAACAAAAAUCCCUUACUGAUCACGAGCCAAAAGGCACAGAAUAUAUGAUGGCAUCCAUGUAAACAUAGCAAGUUUCAUACACAGAUUCAGACAGCAGAAAAACUGAGCAUGGCAUAAACAGAAUUAUGAAGGCAUCUUUGCGAGAUCAAAUCACUCAUCACAAAGCAUUUCAUGGCAUAUUAAGGCAUCCAACAGUAAGAUGGCAUAAUUAUGAAGCUAAGAAUGGCAAGAGCAAGUUCAUAGGGUGCAUGGAUCACUAGCAAAACACAUGUCAAAACUUUACUUCAUGUUAACAGGCUGACAGAAACAUUAUUUAACAAUUUGAGAGCAAGUUUGCAACAAUCUACAGAAGGCUAUAAAUGCAAAAAAGGGUAUGGAUGGAUAGAGCAUAACAUGUAUAACAAAACAUCCUUAGUGAAUAUCUCCAGAUUAUGCAUAGAACUCAUGAUGGCAGCAGGUUUACAGGGCAUCACAAUGUUACAGCUACAGACUUGGCAGAAAUUACUAAGUCACAGAAAUCAGCAACAUCACGGAGGCUACUUUGCAUGCUUGUGCUAGUCACCAAAUAGACCACAAAAAUACAAGAUUAAGUCCAAAACACAUGUAGAGCUCAUGCUCAUAGGAUGCACACACAAAACACAAUGAAAAAGACAUCACCAAGUUCUGAUAGCAGACAGCAGUUAACAGCAUAUAGCACUCUUGCAAUGAUGAUUAGGGCAUCAAGAUGAUCUCAAACAAGCAUGACAAAAUGGAACAAAAUUAAGAACAUCUCACAAUGAACAUUUUGAUAUAUUACACGCACAAACUGGAGCAGCAUACAAGAAGUUACAAGCAAUCAAAGAUGCACACAUGAUGCAAAAAUUACUAGGACUUAGUAGAAAUUAGACCUCGCAGAAAACGGGACGGAGAGAUCCGGGGACGGGGAUGCAGCGUUUGGUUGGGCGAGUUGGUGGAUCUGAUCCACCUUCCGGAUUCGGCCGGAGUAGAGCUCCGGCGAGCUCGGCUCCGGCGAGGCGAGGAGGAGGACGGCGAGGGCGGCGCGGUGAGGAGGGAGCAGGGGCGGCGGCGCUCGNNNNNNNNNNNNNNNNNNNNNNNNNNNNNNNNNNNNNNNNNNNNNNNNNNNNNNNNNNNNNNNNNNNNNNNNNNNNNNNNNNNNNNNNNNNNNNNNNNNNNNNNNNNNNNNNNNNNNNNNNNNNNNNNNNNNNNNNNNNNNNNNNNNNNNNNNNNNNNNNNNNNNNNNNNNNNNNNNNNNNNNNNNNNNNNNNNNNNNNNNNNNNNNNNNNNNNNNNNNNNNNNNNNNNNNNNNNNNNNNNNNNNNNNNNNNNNNNNNNNNNNNNNNNNNNNNNNNNNNNNNNNNNNNNNNNNNNNNNNNNNNNNNNNNNNNNNNNNNNNNNNNNNNNNNNNNNNNNNNNNNNNNNNNNNNNNNNNNNNNNNNNNNNNNNNNNNNNNNNNNNNNNNNNNNNNNNNNNNNNNNNNNNNNNNNNNNNNNNNNNNNNNNNNNNNNNNNNNNNNNNNNNNNNNNNNNNNNNNNNNNNNNNNNNNNNNNNNNNNNNNNNNNNNNNNNNNNNNNNNNNNNNNNNNNNNNNNNNNNNNNNNNNNNNNNNNNNNNNNGGCGGAUCGGGCCUGCGCGGGCCCACGACGGGCUCCGCAGGCCGGCGGCUGCGGGGGGAGGCCAGGGUGCGACGUGGCCGGCGGGGAUUGGUGCGGGAGGCGGCGGAGAUGAUGUGGCGCCACAGGAUUGGCUGGGCGACGUGCCGGCGGACACGUCCGGCGCGGGUGGACAAGUCUGACUGCGGGAGGAGGAAGAAGCUAGGGUUAGGGUAGGAUUUGAUCCGAAAAUUCGGGGGAGGGGAUGUUUAAAUAGGCAGAGGGAGCUAGGAGAGUCCAAAUGAGGUGCGGUUUUCGCCCACACGAUCGUGAUCGAACGACCGAGAGCAUGGAGGGGGUUUGGAUGGGCUAGUGGGCUGUGGUGAAGGGGUGCUAGGCUGCAAAGAGAAGGGGGCUUCGGGCUACGCGGUUAACCGUUGGGGUAUCAAACGACCUCCAAAUGGAACGAAAUUUGACGGGCGGUCUACUGGUGCUAUACCAAGGCCACUCGGAAAAUCUCGGACCAUUCCGAGAACGUUUUUCUCCCGCUCACGAAAAGAAAACAGAGGGGCGACGGGCGCGCGCGAGAGUAUCGGAUCGCGAAACGGACAACGGGGAAAAGGACCGGAUGCAAGUUUUGAAAAACAUGCAGAUGAAAUGCAGAUGACGACAUGGCAAAAUGCAACACGCAAGCAAAAGACAUGGCAAUGAUGGCGAAUAACUGGAAGACACCUGGCGCAUCGAAUCCGGGGCGUUACAGUUUUGUUUGACAGUAUUGCUAAAGCACAUAUAGAUGUGCUCUAAGUAAUGCACAUCUAGGUCCUAUGCCAUUGAUGUUACGCGAAGAUUCGUGCAGAUAUUUUUCUUUGUCUUUUUUCUUUUCCUUUCUAGUUUGACUAUUACUGGUUUUAUCAAUAAGAAGAGCUCAAUGUAUUGCUUGCCAACUGUCCUACUCCGUUCGUACCGGUACCGGUGCAUAAUCCUAAAACUCGUUCCUUGUUUUUGUCCUGAAAAAGGAAACUAGCCAAAUAGCCAAUAGGAGUCCUGCGCAACCCCGGGAAUUUGGAGCGACUGGGUACAAAUAAUUAUGGUUGAUUAUAUCAGCGGUUAGAUAAUACGUCAACCCNNNNNNNNNNNNNNNNNNNNNNNNNNNNNNNNNNNNNNNNNNNNNNNNNNNNNNNNNNNNNNNNNNNNNNNNNNNNNNNNNNNNNNNNNNNNNNNNNNNNNNNNNNNNNNNNNNNNNNNNNNNNNNNNNNNNNNNNNNNNNNNNNNNNNNNNNNNNNNNNNNNNNNNNNNNNNNNNNNNNNNNNNNNNNNNNNNNNNNNNNNNNNNNNNNNNNNNNNNNNNNNNNNNNNNNNNNNNNNNNNNNNNNNNCUUCAAUUGGCAGUUCCUCUUCUCUGCAUACCCCGCUUAAGUGUUCGCCAUCUUCAUCAUCCCAUGCAGGCCACGCUACACACUGGCACACACUCUGCAGCCAUGUUGAGCGACAGCAAGGACGACAGUUCAACCAGCAGUCUCGCGCCCGAUGAUAGGUCAACAUCGGAAUCAUCCCGCUCGUCUUCCAUGAGUCUGGCAUCGAGCCCGAACCUCGAUUAUAUCCGGUUCAUGGAAGGGACGCCGCCUCCGGAGUCGUCAGACGACAACCAGACAGACGAGGAGCUGUCGGAGGACGAAGAAGAGGACGACGAUGAUGAGGAGGAGGAAUGGUCGAACGAGGAGGAGGAGGAUGACGACAGCAACGACGAUGACAACGGUGGCGGUGAUGAAAAGCCAACGGUCAGCGGCAAGAAGCGUCCUCGCUAAGACGAUGUUGCGGGGCCAUCCAACAACAACAACAACAACAAGGACUAAAUUAAGCAGACUGUAUAUAUCUCUGUUUAUCCUGUCAAUCUCAUCGCAGACGGUUAGUAAUAUGUAUUCGACAGAGAUCUUCUACAUUAUCGCCCACAGGAUGGUUUGUUGAACUAUGUGCCCUGACGAGCACACAAUUCACAAAAAAAAGACCGUAUGGAUGUCUAUAAUGAUCGCACACAAUUCUGAUUACCGGCUUGUUUGCCGGUAUCACACACAUCUUGUUACGCCGGAUCAUUUGUGUUCACCUCAAUCAUCGCAAACGGUUCAUCGGAGUGAACUGUCUGCCGUAUAUCGCACACACCUUGAUCUGGCUGCAUGUUUCUGUUGUUCUGUCUCAUCGCAAACAGUUCAUACAGAUCAACCGUAUGCCCCUCAUCGCACACGCAACUAAAAUCUGAACCGUGUUUGAUGUAUCACUCAUCGCAAAUGUUUUGCAUCUUUUUUGACGGGUUUUUUACAUCACCAUUUGCGAUUAAUGCAUCACACAUAGUUUCGUUAAAGGGUCUCUGAUUGCAGUGUCGCGUUAGCAGCAACCUGCAGUAGUGUAUCCUACAUCUGUCGUGCGUAGAAGCGCGAGAAUACUGUUUGAACAAAAAUUUCAUGAUGAAAAAUGAGAGGAAUCUUUUGGAAUAGUAGAGGUCUGGUGGACUUGUCUAAAAGAAGAUUCCUUGCGGAAGCAUCUGUGGGACAUAAGUUGGACUUUAUUGCCUUAAUUGAGAGGGGUAGGGAUAAUUUUACAUCACAAUUUCUUAACACCAUAUCUGGUGGUGCUGAUUUUGAUUGGCACUGUAUACCCCCAAGAGGAAGGUCCGACUCGAUUUUACUUGCGGUCAAGUGCGAGACGCUAGAAGCUCUCAAUGUUGUGCUUGGGGACUUCGCCGGCAAAUUCAGGAUGCGCUCGAAAAUUGAUGGGUUUCGAUGGGCGCUAGUUUCUGUGUAUGGGGCCGCUCAACCAGAACUCAGGUUUCCUUGUCGACUUGUGCGGAUCUGCGGGGACGAGAGGCUCCCUAUCUUGGUUGGAGGUGAUUUUAACAUCAUCAGACGGAGAGAAGAAAAAAUAAUGAUAACUUUGAUGGCAAAUGGUCAUUCAUGUUUAAUACUAUUAUCGAAAGUAUGCACCUGAGGGAGAUAGAGCUCAUAUGCAGACAGUUCUCCUGGGUGAACACAUUGCAGAAUCCAACAUAUGAGAAGUUGGAUCGAGUUCUCACCAGCUUUCAGUGGGAGCAGAAGUUUCCUUUGGUGAUGGUGCAAGCCCUACAUAGGGGCAUUUCGGACCACACUCCAUUGCUUGUUGACUCUGGGGGGCGACCCAUGUGGGAAACAAGAAUGUCUUCUCUUUAUAACUAGCAUGGUUUCAGAGAGGGGGCUUCAUUAAUCUAUUAUCCCGGGAAUGGUCUAAGGUCAUAGGAGGGAGGUCUAAUGUUGAGCGAUGGCAAAAUAAGAUUAGGCAUUUGUGGCAAUUCCCGAGGGGCUGGGCUAAGAAUGAAAGCGGAAUUUAUAAGGUGGAAAAAGAUAGGCUUAUGCACCUUAUAAAUGAACUCGGCCUAAAGGCAAAAUCUGUCUUACUAGAUGCAGACGAACAGGCAUCUAAGAUGGAGGCUGAGCAGAAAUUACGAGCGCUUCUUAGAGAAGAAGAGAUGAAAUUGGCACUUAGAGAUAAAGUGAGGCAGGUCGUCCAAAGGUGAUGACAAUACUCAGUUCUUUAAUUUGAUUGCAGAUGGAAAACACGGGAAGAAGAAAAUCUUCUAGCUAGAACGGGAUGAGGGUACAAUCGUAGGACAUGAGAACCUAAAAUUGUACAUCUCUAACUACUAUAAACAGCUUUUUGGUGCUCCUAAGGACAAUUUUGUGUCUCUUAAUGAACACAUGGUAGGGGAUAUUCCUCGCCUCGGGAUAGACAAGAAUGAGAUUUUAUCUGUGCCAUUCAUGGAGAAAGAGGUGUUUGAGGCCAUGUCACAGAUGAAGAAUAAUAAGGCACCUGGCCCAGAUGGCUUCCCAGCUGAAUUAUAUAAGAAAUAUUGGCAUAUUAUUAAGGGUGCCUCGUGCCAAUGUUCCAUGACUUGUUUAAUGGCCAACUAUGGCUAUUCCACCUAAACUUUGGAACAAUAACGUUGUUGCCAAACAAGGUGGAGGCAGUGCAUAUUGAGCAGUUCAGACCGAUAUGUCUGCUCAAUGUGAUAUUUAAAUUUUUUACAAAAGUUGAUCCAACCGAUUGACGCGGAUUGCACAUAGUGUGGUGCAACCAACUCAGACGGCUUUCAUGUCGGGCAGAAACGUACUAGAGGGUGUGGUUGUCCUACAUGAAACACUACACGAGAUCCACUCAAAGAAACUAGAUGGGGUGGUCUUCAAGGUGGAUUUCGAAAAAGCAUAUGAUAAGGUUAAAUGGUCGUUUCUCCACCAAGCCAAACUAUGAUGGGGUGGUCUUGAAGGGAUUCGAUGAUUCAUGGAGGAAUCAGGUCAAUUCUUUUGUACAAAAAUGUAGCAUCGGGAUUAAAGUAACUAUGACAUAGGUCACUACUUCCAGACUCAAAAGGGUCUAAGACAGGGGGACCCCAUGUCACCUAUAUUGUUCAACAUAGUGGUAGACAUGUUGGCAAUUCUCAUAGGUAGAGCUAAGGAGGACGGACAAGUAGGAGAACUAGUACCACAUCUUGUGGAUGGUGGGGUGUCCAUACUACAAUACGUGGAUGAUACUAUCAUUAUCAUGGAACAUGACAUGGAAAAGGCCAGAAAUAUGAAGCUCGUGUUAUGCCUGUUCGAACAAUUGUCGGGUUUGAAGAUUAAUUCUAACAAAAGUGAAUUGUUCUGUUUUGGGAGAGCCAAGGAGGAACAAGAAGCUUAUAGACAAUUGUUCGGAUGUGAACUGGGUACCCUACCGUUUAGUUAUCUGGACAUACCAAUUCACCAUCGCAUGCCCUCUAAUAAGGAAUGGAAGUGGAAUAAAGAUCGAUUUGAAAAAAAACUAAGUUGUUGGAAGGGUAACCUUAUGUCUUAUGGGGGCCGGCUGGUACUGAUAAAAUCAAUACUCACGAGUAUCCCGAUGUUCCUUUUGUCUUUCUUUGAAGUACUGCUACUUGUGUGCUAUGUUGGGAUUUCCCCAAAGAGGAGAGGAUGAUGCAGUACAGUACAGAUAAGUACUUCCCUCGGUUAAGAACUAAGGUUAUCAAUCCAUUAGGAGAACCACGCGAAACCUCGUUAGCAGCACCUACAAACAAAAGAGCAAAUACUUGCACCCAACGCGGUCAAGGGGGUUGUGAAUCCCCUUGGUGGUUGUUUGCAAGGAUCAAAUCUGAUAGUGAUAGAUACAUAAAAUAAAACACACAAUAUAAUAAUGGUAAAUAAAUUGCAGUAAGGUAUUUUUGGAUUUAAUGUAUGAUAAAGGUAGAUCCGGGGGCCAUAGUUUUCACUAGAGGCUUCUCUCUCGAACAAAAAGCAUACGAUGGGUAGACAAAUUAUCGUUGGGUAAUUGAUAGAAAAGCACAUAGUUAUGACGAUAUUCAAGGCAAUGAUCAUGUAUAUAAGCAUCACGUCCGAGACAAGUAGACCGACUCCUGCCUGCAUCUACUACUAUUACUCCACCCAUUGACCGCUAUCCAGCAUGCAUUUAGGGUAUUAAGUUCAUAAAAAAUGGAGUAACGCCUUAAGUAAGAUGACAUGUAGACAAAGUAAACCCAAGCAAUAUGAAUAAACCCCGUCGUUUUCCCCUUAAUGGCAACAAUACAAAUACGUGUCAUGUCCCCUUCUGUCACUAGGAUUGAGCACCGCAAAAUUGAAACCAUUAUAAAGCACCUCUCCCAUUGCAAGAUCAAUCAAUCUAGUUGGCCAAACCAAACGGAUAGAUCGAAGAGAAAUACAAAGCUAUAAUAAUCAUGCAUAAAAGAAUUCAGAGAAGACUCAAUUAAUAUUCAUGAAUAAUCUAAUCAUAAACCCACAAUUCAUCGGAUCCCAACAAACACACCGCAAAAGAAGGUUACAUCGAAUAGAUCUCCAAGAACAUCGAGGAGAACAAUGUAUAUAUUGAAGAUCAAAGAGAGAAGAAGCCAUCUAGCUACUAGCUAUGGACCCGUAGGUUUGUGGUAAACUACUCACACAUCAUCGGAAGGGCAGGAAGGUUGAUGUAGAGGCCCUCCCUGAUCGAUUACCCCUCCGGCAGAGUGCCGAAAAAAGCCUCCAGAUGGGAUCAUGGAAGAACAGAAACUUGCGGUGGCGGAAAAGUAUUUUUGGGUGGCUCUCUGAUGUAUUAGGAAUAUUUGGGAAUUUAUAGAGGUGGAAUUAGGUCAAGAGGUGCCACAAGGGGCCCACAAGCCUGGAGGGUGCGCCUCCCGAGCUUGUCGCUUCCUCAUGGCUCUUCAAGUCUUCUCCCAAGCCUUCUAGGGUCCCUUCUGGUCCAGAAAAAAUUAAUCCAAAGUUUUUUCUCCGUUUGGACUCUGUUUGAUAUUGAUUUUCUGAAAAGCAAAAAUAACAACUAGCACUGUGCACUAGAUUAAUAGGUUAGUCCCAAAAAGUGAUAUAUAAUUGCAUAAAAACAACCAAGAUUGAUACUAUAAUAGCAUGGAAAAAUAAAAAAUUAUAGAUACGCUGGAGACGUAUCAAGUACCUGCAUGGGUACGGAAAAGGUUAGAUUUCUAUCGAACACAAUUUUUUUGGCAACGCGAUGAAAUAAAGAGAAAGUAAAUGCUUACUAAAUGGGAUAUCAUUUCUAGACCGAAGGACCAAGGUGGGCUCGGCAUUGAGAAUUUAGAGGUAAAAAAUAGAUGCCUGCUCAGUAAAUGGUUAUACAGGCUUUCUGUUGAGAGUGAAGGCAUGUGGGUACAAUUUUUGCGUAAUAAGUACCUAGAGUCUAAAAUCUUGGCCCAGGUUACCGUUAGACCCAAUGAUUCACCUUUAUGGAAGGGGUUGAUGAGAGUGAAAACGGCCUUCUUCCAUAGAACAAAAUUCAUCAUUGGAAACGAUAAUAGUGCUAUUUUCUGAGAGGAUACUUGGCUAGGGGAGGCGCCUUUAGCAACACAAUAUAUUUCCCUGUAUAAUAUUGUACAACGGAAGGAGGCUUAUGUUGUUACAGUAUUACAGUCUACACCUCUAAACAUUCAGUUCCGGAUUAAUAGGAGACCGAUGGAACACUUGGUUACAUCUUGUGCGGAGGUUGAUGGACGUUACCUCUCUAAUGAGCCAGAUAUCAUUCACCGGAGAUUAUCUAUGAACGAAAUAUUUUCAGUGAAAUCUAUGUAUGUAGACCUAAUUAAAUCUGGUCCAAUUCCGAGAUCUAUACAUAUUUGGAAAAUUAAAGUGCCUUUAAGAGUCAAAGUCUUCAUGUGGUUUGUUCACAAGUAGGUGAUCCUGACUAAGGAUAAUUUGGCAAAGCGAAGUUGGGAGGGCAAUCAACGAUGUUUCCUUUGUGAUCAAGAUGAAUUGAUUACGAGUGUCCGCUGGCUAGACUAUUAUGGCAUUCAGUUCAUAUAGCCUUUAACAUUACCCCUCCAAAUAGUAUUCACACGUUAUUUGGGACGUGGCUAAAUGGAGUUGAUCCAACUAUUGUGACACAUAUUCGGUUAGGAGUAUGUGCAUUACUUUGGGCUAUAUGAAACUGCAGAAAUGAUAUGGUUUUUAACAGACAGAGUCGAAUUAAUUUUUUACAGGUUAUCUACAAGACCACUACUUGGAUCCAUACGUGGUCGUUACUCACUCCUGUGGAAGUUAGGGAGCCUUUGGUUACUGGGUCUACCCGAUGAGAGAUGGUAGCUCAGGACAUCUACAACCGGUUUGGAUGGGGUCCAAUAAUAGGUUAGGUGUUUAGUCAUCUCGUCCUAUUUUUGCCGGUUGUGGCAUUUUACACUUAUUUGCACUUUUCUUCAGCUCCGACCAAGCUUGUACUAGACUGCAGACAUUUUCGGAUGUUUUUCUUAAUAAUAUGGCUACAUGCAUCACUCUUGAUGCAGAAACCGGGGGUAAUCCUCCUUUUUCAAAAAAAGAAAGAACAUUACCAGCAACCAUUAUUUAUUUUUUAACAUCAACAGCAAACAUUACCAGCAACCAUUAUCUAUACCUACUAAUAAAAGAAAUAGGUAUUCUUAGUCCGUCAUGCUAUUUUAUAGAAAACCCCACUGAUGUUUCUGGCAUUAAACCCGUAGUAUAUAUCAAAUGUUUUUUAAAAUACUCAUAUCUUCUAGACAGUAACUCCAAAUUUAACAUGUUAUAUAUGGAAUUUGAUUAGAAAAAUAUGUAAAAUCUGAAUAUGAUGUUAUUUUACAUGUUAACCAUUUAAAAAAAUACUAUCUAGGGUGCAAUCCUAAAGUGCAUUAUCCGCGUUUCUUUCAUAUCAGUACUGAUCCGGAUUGUGGAUGAAUAUCUCAGCAAAAUCAAGAUUGGGGGCGAAAUUGAAGGUCUCUUGCCCAUUUCUUUGCCCUUUUAUUUGUACGUAUUAAAUCUACAUGCAAACUGUGUUUAAUUAGAAGACAUGUGGAAUCUUGAACUUGCGCUUUUGUAGGCAAAGACCAUCUUUGUUUGGGUGGUAGCUACAAAUACUUAGAUUAUAGACAAUUUUUUAUAAAUUAAGAGUGUGGGGUAUUCUUUUCUCCCGUUGCAACGCACGGGCCCUUUUGCUAGUUAUCCUAACGUAAAACAGAAAGACCACAGCAGGGGUACUGCAUUAGGCAAAAAACAGGAAGAGAACAUCACCACUUCUCAUCAGGCCUGAAAAACGAGAUGGAGAACAGAAUCCAUAGGCGCACGAGAGUAAAAAAAAAGUGAAACAAAUGGCAAAAGAUUUGCCAUAUUUCCUAGCAAAAGUGCGGUAUUUGGUUAAGUCACAAGCGCGUCUGCCUAUAAGGAUUAACCACCAUACAUUGACCAUUGUCCAACCAACAAGAACUGUUAGAGACUGCUCGCUGCUUGGUUUCUGAUUUCCCAAACCUGUGCGUGGCUGUUUACCAAAGGACCUGGAUAGCAGGGAUCAAGUGGGGGUGCCGUGGGUGCCAUGACGCCCCCUCCAAAGUCGUAAAAUAAAUUUUACUAUGUACCUAACACUAAAUAUCCGUUCACUUGUUUAUUUUCAGACCAUUUGUUGAGAUAAUGAUGAUGUUUAGAGUAAACUUUAAACUGUGGCACCCCAAGCCUGCAAUUCUAUGUCGGGCCACCGCUGGGUAGUGCAGGCCAAAUCCUUUUGGCUACAUAUACAGUACAGAAGGAACAGGUGAAGCACUGGGAGUCUGGGACUGGGUAGAGCCUCGAUGUUAUCUCCUCAGUUUCUUUGUUCGUUUAUCUCCUCUCAAGGUUAUGCCUAGUGAUUAUAAUCUUGUUAUUGAGACAUUAAUCAGAGGAACACUUGCCCUCUAGGCCCCUAUCACACACACCGGUCUACUGCUGUCAUCGCCAGAGUUAUCCGACAGCAAGGAUCACCGAGUGUCAGCGGUUGCAAGCAUGGACAGCAAAGCAUAACUUCAGAGAUUCAGUAGCCACAAGCACAAUGAGACUGCCAGGUUUAACAUCUGUACAUAUACAGUUUGGCACUGCACAUUCAUUCGUCUCCACGGCUAGAAACAUGCCACUCCUGUCCUCAUCUAUCAACACUUCCAUCUCUGAGGCUUGGCUGUUGCCUGCAGCUGUAGGUCACGGCACCCGACCGACACCAGCCACAGUUGAAAAAUCCAAUGAACAUCACUUGUGGGAUAUUCUAGUAUCGCAGUAAAUAGAUGCCACUCCAGUGUGUCAGUUCAGAUGUUCAGUUUAUCGGAGUAUACUAAGUUUUACUAUGAUUCAGAAAAUGCUAGUACUGUUUGUUUUCCUAUGUAGAAUCUCACAAAACAAAAAAUGCACCAAUAAAAAUGGAUGGCUAAUCUCUACAUCGUCAGCUUAGAAACAGCAUUGUACCACAGCAUCAAAUGACGAUGCUGCUUUAUUAUCAAAGCAUAAGGAAAUCUUCAGGUUCAGCACCACCAAGCAAAAAAAAAGACAACAGAGCAAACGGGAACAUGUUUCAACAAAGAACAAAUUAAAAACAGUUCAUCUUCAUCACAUUUCACAGGAAACGAACAAGGCAGACGCAACUCAGCGCCCUACCAACAGCAAAUCCUCUCCGGAGUUCAGGUCCACUGCAAAAACUCCAAGCCUUUCUUUUCAUCUCCGCCUCAC